GGUUUAAUUACCCAAGUUUGAG
RNAcentral lists this non-coding RNA (22 nucleotides) under Caenorhabditis briggsae. RNAcentral also lists the same sequence under 30 other names. Lineage: Eukaryota; Metazoa; Nematoda; Chromadorea; Rhabditida; Rhabditidae. The record is from RNAcentral.